GACGAACCGUGCGAACGUUGUUCGGAUUCACUGGGCUUAAAGGGCGCGUAGGCGGGUUCUCAAGGCAGGGGUGAAAUCCUCCAGCUUAACUGGAGAAGUGCUUUUGAUACUGGGGACCUCGAGUAAGGUAGGGGCAUGUGGAACUUCCGGUGGAGCGGUGAAAUGCGUAGAUAUCGGAAGGAACGCCGGUGGCGAAAGCGACGUGCUGGACCUUUUCUGACGCUGAGGCGCGAAAGCCAGGGGAGCAAACGGG
RNAcentral lists this ribosomal RNA (253 nucleotides) under uncultured bacterium. RNAcentral describes it as "partial 16S ribosomal RNA". It matches the Rfam family "Bacterial small subunit ribosomal RNA", at positions 524 to 776 of the family's 1533-position model. The record is from RNAcentral.